This 459-nucleotide ribosomal RNA is filed under the name uncultured bacterium. Its description in RNAcentral is "partial 16S ribosomal RNA". It matches the Rfam family "Bacterial small subunit ribosomal RNA", at positions 338 to 795 of the family's 1533-position model. The record is from RNAcentral.
CCUACGGGAGGCAGCAGUGAGGAAUAUUGGUCAAUGGGCGGGAGCCUGAACCAGCCAAGUCGCGUGAGGGAUGACGGCCCUAUGGAUUGUAAACCUCUUUUGUCGGGGAGCAAAAGACGCCACGCGUGGCGUUCCGAGAGUACCCGAAGAAAAAGCAUCGGCUAACUCCGUGCCAGCAGCCGCGGUAAUACGGAGGAUGCGAGCGUUAUCCGGAUUUAUUGGGUUUAAAGGGUGCGCAGGCGGAAGAUCAAGUCAGCGGUAAAAUUGAGAGGCUCAACCUCUUCGAGCCGUUGAAACUGGUGUGCUUGAGUGAGUGAGAAGGAUGCGGAAUGCGUGGUGUAGCGGUGAAAUGCAUAGAUAUCACGCAGAACUCCGAUUGCGAAGGCAGCAUACCGGCGCUCAACUGACGCUCAUGCACGAAAGUGUGGGUAUCGAACAGGAUUAGAUACCCGUGUAGUC